This 498-nucleotide ribosomal RNA is filed under the name uncultured bacterium. RNAcentral's name for it is "bacterial SSU rRNA". It matches the Rfam family "Bacterial small subunit ribosomal RNA", at positions 28 to 507 of the family's 1533-position model. The record is from RNAcentral.
GGCUAACGCUGGCGGCGUGUCUUAGCCAUGCAAGUCGAGCGGACUUAUGGGGUAACUUAUAAGUCAGCGGCGGACGGCGGAGUAACACGUAGCUAACCUACCCUCUGGACGGGGAUAACCUACCGAAAGGUGGGCUAAUACCCGAUGUAGUCAUCCUGUAUAGGGGUGAUGAAAGGUGGGCUUCUGUUUACAAGCUCAUGCUGGAGGAGGGGGCUGCGGCCUAUCAGGUAGUUGGUAGGGUAAUAGCCUACCAAGCCGAUGACGGGUAGCCGGCCUGAGAGGGUGACCGGCCCGAGGGGCACUGAGAUACGGGUCCUACUCCUACGGGAGGCAGCAGGCUAGAAAUUUGGGCAAUGGGGGAAACCCUGACCCAGUGACGCCGCGUGCAGGAAGGAGCCCUUCGGGGUGUAAACUGCUGUCGUGUAGGGAGAAGGGCACUAAGGUGAACAAUCUUAGUACUUGACGGUACUACAGGAGGAAGCCCAGGCUAACCUCGUG